AAAGUCGUCGUCGGAAGGUCCGCCUGCUCCGACUUCGAUUUCGCAUAUGCCCAAUUAUGCCGACCUGUUCUCUCUCAAAAACCCGCAACACUGCUGUCGCUUCCGCUUACUCGCUACCGUCCACAACAAACAACAGUACCGCGGCUAACCGAAUUUAAGCGGAGCACCGACGUGGGAAACUGCCUGAGGAAGGUGUAUUCCCGAUGUCCCGAGGUAUACAACAGCGAGAAAAGCAACUAUGGUGGAUGGUACAGGCCGGAAUGGCACAUCGUCACUGGUCUGCUGUGAAAUACCACCAUCGGACCGGUGAAACACAUCCGCGCUGCAAUGCACUGCGAUGAAAAAGAUCAUCGCAAGUUCUCCGACUGUUGCACACUAGGCUCAGCUGCCCCGUAUGAACAGAACGAAAAUGAGUCCGCUGCCCGCCAGACUAUUUGCCAGCGUUUGAAAGCCCUCGUAGAACGCAUCAGCGGCACGGAUGGUAUUGAAAUGGGGAGAAAAUGCGGUCAAGAUGCUAUGGAAACGGUGAAAGAGGGUUAUCAGCAGUUGCAUGAUGUAUACUGUCCUAAUCUGUAAACGGCUGUUCAUAACAUUAAUUUGAAUACUUCGCACGCUUGGAUUUUUUUUCAUUGCUUGUUUGAGCUGUUUCAUCAAGGUGGAGGGAGACCAUUGUAGCGGACUUUUCCAUAGAACAACCGGCGACUUGAACUGCGCGAAAUGCGUUGAGCGAGAUGAUUUUUCAAGUUGAUUACUGGUUAUUUCAUUUUUAUUAGAUCAGUUGUGGUAAUUAGUGCGAAUUACAAUUAUCGCCGACUACUGAAAAUGUUAAGGCGA
Paramacrobiotus metropolitanus is the source of this 834-nucleotide long non-coding RNA. RefSeq lists it as uncharacterized. The transcript is spliced from 3 exons. NCBI's taxonomy places the organism in Eukaryota, Metazoa, Tardigrada, Eutardigrada, Parachela, Macrobiotidae. The record is from RefSeq and is a predicted model, not a curated record.